UUGCGGCUGGAUCCCCUCCUUUUGAGCAAAGACAGCAUCGUCCUGUCGGGCGUCUUCACAAGUAACCUGCAUUCAGAGUUUCACGUCGGCCUGGCCGGCGUGGAUAGUCCCGUAUAUGGGGCCUUAGCUCAGCUGGGAGAGCACCUGCUUUGCAAGCAGGGGGUCGUCGGUUCGAUCCCGACAGGCUCCACCACAGGCCGCGAGUUUAUCGACGCGGUCGCAAUGAGCUGAACGGACAUUGGGUCUGUAGCUCAGGUGGUUAGAGCGCACCCCUGAUAAGGGUGAGGUCGGUAGUUCGAGUCUACCCAGACCCACCACUCUGAAUGAUCAGCGCAUACAAAGAAUUUAUUACGGAUCGGCAUUGUGGCCGGUACGUGUUCUUUUAAAACUUGUGACGUAGCGAGCGUUUUGAGAUUCUAUCUUAGACGUGUCGUGAGGCUAAGGCGGAAGACUUAAAUGUCUUCUUAUUAAUUGAGUCGUUAUAUUUCGUAUCUGGGCUUUGUACCCCCAGGUCAUAUAUAUAACCCGAGGCAACUUGCGGUUAUAUGGUCAAGCGAAUAAGCGCACACGGUGGAUGCCUUGGCGGUCAGAGGCGAUGAAGGACGUGGCAGCCUGCGAAAA
This 621-nucleotide unclassified non-coding RNA is filed under the name Stenotrophomonas rhizophila. RNAcentral describes it as "partial may contain 16S ribosomal RNA, 16S-23S ribosomal RNA intergenic spacer, and 23S ribosomal RNA". The stretch from base 241 to 314 matches the Rfam family "tRNA". Lineage: Bacteria; Pseudomonadati; Pseudomonadota; Gammaproteobacteria; Lysobacterales; Lysobacteraceae. The record is from RNAcentral.